Ribosomal RNA from Vicugna pacos (alpaca), 109 nucleotides. The record is from Ensembl. NCBI's taxonomy places the organism in Eukaryota, Metazoa, Chordata, Mammalia, Artiodactyla, Camelidae.
GUCUACAGCCAUACCACCCUGAAUGCACCUAAUUUCUUCUGAUCUCAGAAGCUAAGCAGGGUGUGGCCUGGUUAGUACUUGGAUGGGAGGAAUGUAAGUCUUCUAACCC